UACGGAGGGAGCUAGCGUUGUUCGGAAUUACUGGGCGUAAAGCGCACGUAGGCGGCUUUGUAAGUUAGAGGUGAAAGCCCGGGGCUCAACCCCGGAAUUGCCUUUAAGACUGCAUCGCUUGAAUCCGGGAGAGGUGAGUGGAAUUCCUGGUGUAGCGGUGAAAUGCGUAGAUAUGCGGAGGAACACCGAUGGCGAAGGCAAUCCCCUGGACCUGUACUGACGCUCAUGCACGAAAGCGUGGGGAGCAAACAGG
Molecule: ribosomal RNA, 253 nt
Filed under: uncultured bacterium
Lineage: Bacteria
Description: partial 16S ribosomal RNA
Rfam family: Bacterial small subunit ribosomal RNA
Source: RNAcentral